RNAcentral lists this transfer RNA (69 nucleotides) under Hoplostethus mediterraneus (Mediterranean slimehead). RNAcentral's name for it is "tRNA-Tyr". It matches the Rfam family "tRNA". From Rfam's summary of the family: Transfer RNA (tRNA) molecules are approximately 80 nucleotides in length. Their secondary structure includes four short double-helical elements and three loops (D, anti-codon, and T loops). Further hydrogen bonds mediate the characteristic L-shaped molecular structure. tRNAs have two regions of fundamental functional importance: the anti-codon, which is responsible for specific mRNA codon recognition, and the 3' end, to which the tRNAs corresponding amino acid is attached (by aminoacyl-tRNA synthetases). tRNAs cope with the degeneracy of the genetic code in two manners: having more than one tRNA (with a specific anti-codon) for a particular amino acid; and 'wobble' base-pairing, i.e. permitting non-standard base-pairing at the 3rd anti-codon position. RNAcentral also lists the same sequence under 1 other name. The record is from RNAcentral. Lineage: Eukaryota; Metazoa; Chordata; Actinopteri; Trachichthyiformes; Trachichthyidae.
GGUAAGGUGGCUGAGGUUAAGCGGUGGAUUGUAGCCCCAUAGACAGAGGUUUGAGUCCUCUCCUUAUCA